UGGGGAAUCUUGCGCAAUGGGCGAAAGCCUGACGCAGCGACGCCGCGUGGGGGAAGAAGGCUUUCGGGUUGUAAACCCCUUUCAGGAGGGACGAAGCCACUCGGGUGAAUAGCCCAGAGGGUGACGGUACCUCCAGAAGAAGCCCCGGCUAACUACGUGCCAGCAGCCGCGGUAAUACGUAGGGGGCAAGCGUUGUCCGGAUUUAUUGGGCGUAAAGAGCGUGUAGGCGGUUUGGUAGGUCCGCUGUGAAAACUCGAGGCUCAACCUCGAGACGCCGGUGGAAACCAUCAGGCUAGAGUCCGGAAGAGGAGAGUGGAAUUCCUGGUGUAGCGGUGAAAUGCGCAGAUAUCAGGAAGAACACCCGUGGCUAAGGCGGCUCUCUAGUACGGUACUGACGCUGAGACGCGAAAGCGUGGGGAGCGAACAG
This 427-nucleotide ribosomal RNA is filed under the name uncultured bacterium. Its description in RNAcentral is "bacterial SSU rRNA". It matches the Rfam family "Bacterial small subunit ribosomal RNA", at positions 355 to 775 of the family's 1533-position model. The record is from RNAcentral.